Molecule: microRNA precursor, 98 nt
Filed under: Marmota monax (woodchuck)
Lineage: Eukaryota; Metazoa; Chordata; Mammalia; Rodentia; Sciuridae
Source: RNAcentral
AGUACAAUUGCUAGGUCAUAUGUUAACCACAUGUUUAGCUUUUAAGAAACUUCCAAACUGUUUUCAGAGUAGUUUUACUGUCUUACAUUCCUGGCAAU